GACGAACGCUGGCGGCGUGCUUCAUACAUGCAAGUCGAACGAGAAGCUAGAGCUUGCUCUAGUGGAAAGUGGCGGACGGGUGAGUAAUAUGUAGGAAAUCUGCCCUAGAGAGGGGGACAACAGAAGGAAACUUCUGCUAAUACCCCAUAUGAGCUUGGUUGAAAUACCAAUCUUGAAAACUCCGGUGCUCUAGGAUGAGCCUGCACCUGAUUAGCUUGUUGGUGGUGUAAUGGACUACCAAGGCGACGAUCAGUAGCUGGUUUGAGAGGAUGAUCAGCCACAAUGGGACUGAGACACGGCCCAUACUCCUACGGGAGGCAGCAGUAGGGAAUUUUGCGCAAUGGGCGAAAGCCUGACGCAGCAACGCCGCGUGUGUGAUGACGCCCUCGGGU
RNAcentral lists this ribosomal RNA (392 nucleotides) under uncultured bacterium. RNAcentral's name for it is "bacterial SSU rRNA". It matches the Rfam family "Bacterial small subunit ribosomal RNA", at positions 28 to 423 of the family's 1533-position model. The record is from RNAcentral.